Molecule: long non-coding RNA, 430 nt
Organism: Salvia miltiorrhiza (redroot sage)
Lineage: Eukaryota; Viridiplantae; Streptophyta; Magnoliopsida; Lamiales; Lamiaceae
Exons: 2
Source: RefSeq, a predicted model, not a curated record
AAGAAAAAAAUCAAUCAAUCGAAUAAAUCUCAUUAGAAUUUGAGAGGCUGAAGAUGAAUCCCAACAACGAAGGGAGCAGCAAUGGAGGAAAGAAGGGAGGUAGUGGUUUUACUAAAAAAGGAAAGAUCACAGCAAUGGCGGUCAAGAAAUAUGUUGAGUUGGGAGAGAAAGCUUCAAACAAUCUUGUUAAGGUUUAUAAUGACCACAAAGAUAAAGGAAAAGUUAAACCUUCUGAUGAUUAAUUGUUAAUUCGUGUGUAUAUUAGUUUCAAAUUUGUGUGUUGUAAAAUAGCUAGGGUUGUCACAAAUGUAUUUUUAUAGAAUUCUAGCAAAUCGUUAAGAGUGUUCAAUUCUGUGUGCAUUUAUCAAAACAUAUGUAUUGAUUGUGAAUUUAUUGAAUAUACUAUGCAGUAAUUUUGUUCUCUCUGUUG